UACGUAGGGUGCAAGCGUUAUUCGGAAUUACUGGGCGUAAAGCGUGCGUAGGCGGUUUGUUAAGUCUGAUGUGAAAGCCCUGGGCUCAACCUGGGAAUUGCAUUGGAUACUGGCAGGCUAGAGUGCGGUAGAGGAUGGCGGAAUUCCCGGUGUAGCAGUGAAAUGCGUAGAUAUGCGGAGGAACACCGAUGGCGAAGGCAAUCCCCUGGACCUGUACUGACGCUCAUGCACGAAAGCGUGGGGAGCAAACAGG
Molecule: ribosomal RNA, 253 nt
Filed under: uncultured bacterium
Lineage: Bacteria
Description: partial 16S ribosomal RNA
Rfam family: Bacterial small subunit ribosomal RNA
Source: RNAcentral